Molecule: ribosomal RNA, 424 nt
Filed under: uncultured bacterium
Lineage: Bacteria
Description: bacterial SSU rRNA
Rfam family: Bacterial small subunit ribosomal RNA
Source: RNAcentral
GGAAUUUUGGGCAAUGGGCGAAAGCCUGACCCAGCUACGCCGCGUGAGGGAUGAAGGCCUUCGGGUCGUAAACCUCUGUCGGGAGGGACGACAGAUCUGCGGGUGAACAAUCCGCGGAAGUGCCGGUACCUCCACAGGAAGCGCCGGCUAACUCCCUGCCAGCCGCCGCGGUAAUACGGAGGGCGCAAGCGUUGUUCGGAAUUACUGGGCGUAAAGCGCGUGUAGGCGGCCAGGUAAGUCGGGUGUGAAAUCCCGGGGCCCAACCCCGGAACUGCACUCGAAACUGCCUGGCUGGAGUCCCGGAGAGGAAGGCGGAAUUCCCGGUGUAGAGGUGAAAUUCGUAGAUAUCGGGAGGAACACCAGCGGCGAAGGCGGCCUUCUGGACGGUGACUGACGCUGAGACGCGAAAGCGUGGGGAGCAAAC